CACCGCGGUUAUACGAGAGGCUCAAGUUGAUAAAUGCCGGCGUAAAAUGUGGUUAACAUAAAAAUAUACUAAAGCUAAACAUCUUCAAAGCUGUUAUACCCACACGAAGACAGGAAGACCUUCUACGAAAGUGGCUUUAAAUGAUGCUAACCCACGAAAACUAGGAAA
RNAcentral lists this ribosomal RNA (168 nucleotides) under Luciogobius martellii. RNAcentral describes it as "partial 12S rRNA". The record is from RNAcentral. Lineage: Eukaryota; Metazoa; Chordata; Actinopteri; Gobiiformes; Gobiidae.